Non-coding RNA from Caenorhabditis brenneri, 72 nucleotides. Lineage: Eukaryota; Metazoa; Nematoda; Chromadorea; Rhabditida; Rhabditidae. The record is from the annotation of a GenBank genome assembly.
GCACCCAUGGCGCAGCGGUUAACGCGUUCGUUUUGGAAAUUUCGAUCCGGGGUUCGAAUCCGGAUGGUCCCA